GACAAGCCCCCGGGGAGCGCAGGAGCGCUGAGAGUGCGGCCGGACACCACGUCCCACCCGCAGACCCGUGGAACCUGAUCUGGUUCAUGCCAGCGUAGGGAGCAGGGCACUGUCGUCG
Molecule: non-coding RNA, 118 nt
Filed under: Cellulomonas sp.
Lineage: Bacteria; Bacillati; Actinomycetota; Actinomycetes; Micrococcales; Cellulomonadaceae
Description: TPP sequence
Rfam family: TPP riboswitch aptamer (THI element)
About the family: Vitamin B(1) in its active form thiamin pyrophosphate (TPP) is an essential coenzyme that is synthesised by coupling of pyrimidine and thiazole moieties in bacteria. The previously detected thiamin-regulatory element, thi box was extended, resulting in a new, highly conserved RNA secondary structure, the THI element, which is widely distributed in eubacteria and also occurs in some archaea.
Source: RNAcentral